UCCCUGAGACUGAAAUUGCCAGGAAGGUUUGUUUACAACUUGGACACUCUUUCUCUCCCCUGUUUCUGCACAGGAAAUGAGUUCCCCAGGACUGGUCACAGAAAAAAACAGAGAACUGCUAACAAGCACAGGAUACUUUCACCCAGAAGAUUUAGAGUUUAACUUGUCACCAGUGUGCAAGGCGUCCUUUGAUGAAGAUUUAUUCCUAAAUACAACGGGUCCAUAUGUGAAUUCAGCAGAAAUUAUUCCUGCACCUCUGAGUCGUGAAGAAACAACUGUAUAUCAGUCUCCACAUCAGAGGCGAGAAAUCUGCUCUAUUGUUAAAGCUUCACCAGGUGUUAAACCAUCUGAGCAUCACCUAAUUCCAGUUAGUGGCAGUGUGUGUCUUCCUCCUGAAGGGAUGCCUGAAUGUAAUGGAAACAGGAGAAUGUUUCAUACGCAAAUGACAGGUGACUGAGAGUGGGAAGAAGUGUAUAGUUUUUAUAAGUAAGUCAUUUUCAAUGUAAAAUCUGGAAAAAAAAAAUGGAAGUGUUGCAAGAGUGAGCCAUACUGGGGAUUUUAACUCUUCAUUUGGACUUCCACACAUAAAGUCCUU
This 595-nucleotide long non-coding RNA is filed under the name Crocodylus porosus (Australian saltwater crocodile). RNAcentral's name for it is "lncRNA (ENSCPRG00005010262.1)". Lineage: Eukaryota; Metazoa; Chordata; Crocodylia; Crocodylidae. The record is from RNAcentral.